AAGACCAGAGGAUAGAAACAUUAAGCUGCUAUCACCCAUGGUUAGGAGAUACAGGUUCUUUGGCUUGCCUGUCUGGUCUU
This 80-nucleotide non-coding RNA is filed under the name unclassified sequences. The record is from RNAcentral.